Molecule: ribosomal RNA, 253 nt
Filed under: uncultured bacterium
Lineage: Bacteria
Description: partial 16S ribosomal RNA
Rfam family: Bacterial small subunit ribosomal RNA
Source: RNAcentral
UACGUAGGGCGCAAGCGUUGUCCGGAAUUAUUGGGCGUAAAGAGCUCGUAGGCGGUCUGUUACGUCCGCUGUGAAAACCCAGGGCUUAACCCUGGGCUUGCAGUGGAUACGGGUAGACUAGAGGCAGGUAGGGGAGAAUGGAAUUCCCGGUGUAGCGGUGAAAUGCGCAGAUAUCGGGAGGAACACCGGUGGCGAAGGCGGGUCUCUGGGCCGAUACUGACGCUGAGGAGCGAAAGCGUGGGGAGCGAACAGG